This 465-nucleotide ribosomal RNA is filed under the name uncultured bacterium. RNAcentral's name for it is "partial 16S ribosomal RNA". It matches the Rfam family "Bacterial small subunit ribosomal RNA", at positions 338 to 795 of the family's 1533-position model. The record is from RNAcentral.
CCUACGGGAGGCAGCAGUGGGGAAUAUUGCGCAAUGGCCGAAAGCCUGACGCAGCGAAGCCGCGUGAGGGAUGAAGGUCUUCGGAUCGUAAGCCUCUGUCAGCAGGGAGGAACGGUGACUGUGCUAAUCAGCAGUGCAUUGACGGUACCUGCAAAGGAAGCACCGGCUAACUCCGUGCCAGCAGCCGCGGUAAUACGGAGGGUGCGAGCGUUAAUCGGAAUUACUGGGCGUACAGCGCUCGUAGGCGGUAGGUCAAGUCAAGGGUGAAAUCCCCGCGCUCAACGUGGGAACUGCCUUUGAAACUGGCAAACUUGAGUGUGGGAGAGGAUAGUGGAAGUCCAGGUGUAGGAGUGAAAUCCGUAGAUAUCGGGAGGAACAUCAGUGGCGAAGGCGACGAUCUGGCACAUAACUGACGCUGAGGAGCGAAAGCGUGGGUAGCAAACAGGAUUAGAUACCCGGGUAGUC